This 301-nucleotide ribosomal RNA is filed under the name uncultured bacterium. RNAcentral describes it as "partial 16S ribosomal RNA". It matches the Rfam family "Bacterial small subunit ribosomal RNA", at positions 509 to 809 of the family's 1533-position model. The record is from RNAcentral.
CAGUAGCCACGGUAAUGCGUAGGGGGCAAGCGUUAUCCGGAGUUACUGGGUGUAAGGGGAGCGUAGACGUUUAAACAAGUCUGAAGUGAAAUGCCGGGGCUCAACCCCGGAGCUGCUUUGGGAACUGUAGAACUGGAGUGUCGGAGGGGUAAGCGGAAUUCCCAGUGUAGCGGUGAAAUGCGUAGAUAUUGGGAGGAACACCGGCGGCGAAGGCGGCUUACUGGACGACAACUGACGUUGAGGCUCGAAGGCGUGGGUAGCAAACUGGAUUAGAUACCCCAGUAGUCCCUGUCUCUUAUAU